Molecule: ribosomal RNA, 591 nt
Filed under: Polaromonas sp. BvIRR081
Lineage: Bacteria; Pseudomonadati; Pseudomonadota; Betaproteobacteria; Burkholderiales; Comamonadaceae
Description: bacterial SSU rRNA
Rfam family: Bacterial small subunit ribosomal RNA
Source: RNAcentral
ACGGGUGAGUAAUAUAUCGGAACGUGCCCAAUCGUGGGGGAUAACGUAGAGAAAUUUACGCUAAUACCGCAUACGAUCUAAGGAUGAAAGCGGGGGAUCGCAAGACCUCGUGCGAUUGGAGCGGCUGAUAUCAGAUUAGGUUGUUGGUGAGGUAAAAGCUCACCAAGCCGACGAUCUGUAGCUGGUUUGAGAGAACGACCAGCCACACUGGGACUGAGACACGGCCCAGACUCCUACGGGAGGCAGCAGUGGGGAAUUUUGGACAAUGGGCGAAAGCCUGAUCCAGCAAUGCCGCGUGCAGGAAGAAGGCCUUCGGGUUGUAAACUGCUUUUGUACGGAACGAAACGGCUCUUUCUAAUAAAGAGGGCUAAUGACGGUACCGUAAGAAUAAGCACCGGCUAACUACGUGCCAGCAGCCGCGGUAAUACGUAGGGUGCGAGCGUUAAUCGGAAUUACUGGGCGUAAAGCGUGCGCAGGCGGUUAUAUAAGACAGUUGUGAAAUCCCCGGGCUCAACCUGGGAAUUGCAUCUGUGACUGUAUAGCUAGAGUACGGUAGAGGGGGAUGGAAUUCCGCGUGUAGCAGUGAAAUGC